GGUCAAGAGUCCUAGCAACAAGCCCCGGCUCGCUAGGCGGCAACCCCCGUACCGCGGCGGGGUGCUCCGGGUGAGGACCUGGUUUGCCUGCGAAACCCGCAGGCGGCAAGCGCGGGUC
Molecule: non-coding RNA, 118 nt
Filed under: Segniliparus rotundus
Lineage: Bacteria; Bacillati; Actinomycetota; Actinomycetes; Mycobacteriales; Segniliparaceae
Also listed under: 1 other name
Description: SAM-IV sequence
Rfam family: SAM (S-adenosyl methionine) riboswitch aptamer
About the family: SAM-IV is a mRNA element that regulates gene expression via direct sensing of S-adenosylmethionine (SAM or AdoMet). SAM-IV riboswitches share conserved nucleotide positions with the previously described SAM-I riboswitches sequence analysis and molecular recognition experiments suggest that SAM-I and SAM-IV riboswitches share similar ligand binding sites, but have different scaffolds.
Source: RNAcentral